UACGGGGGGGAGCAAGCGUUGUUCGGAUUUACUGGGCGUAAAGGGCGCGUAGGCGGCCACCGCAAGUCGACUGUGAAAUCUCCGGGCUUAACCCGGAAAGGUCAGCCGAUACUGCGGGGCUAGAGUGCAGAAGGGGCAACUGGAAUUCUCGGUGUAGCGGUGAAAUGCGUAGAUAUCGAGAGGAACACCUGCGGCGAAGGCGGGUUGCUGGGCUGACACUGACGCUGAUGCGCGAAAAGCUAGGGGGAGCGAACGGG
Molecule: ribosomal RNA, 257 nt
Filed under: uncultured bacterium
Lineage: Bacteria
Description: partial 16S ribosomal RNA
Rfam family: Bacterial small subunit ribosomal RNA
Source: RNAcentral